Molecule: long non-coding RNA, 1526 nt
Organism: Musa acuminata AAA Group (dessert banana)
Lineage: Eukaryota; Viridiplantae; Streptophyta; Magnoliopsida; Zingiberales; Musaceae
Exons: 2
Source: RefSeq, a predicted model, not a curated record
GAAGAGGAGAAGAAGAAGAAGAGGAAGAGAAGAGGAAGAGGAAGCAGGGGAAGAGGUUGUGAUACCUCUGUUUCCUGCAGAGGAAACAGAGGAGAGGGUGUGGGUGACGUCGGGGAGAAGAAGGGGAGGAAGGAGAAGAAGAGAAGAAGAAGAAAGGAAGGAAAAGGAAGAGGAGAAGGGAAGAAAGUAGCUGCGGCUGCGGUUGUGGCAGCUGCAGCUGUGGCAGGGAAAGAAGAAGAGAAAGGAAGAAGGGGAGGAGAGGAAGAAGAGUAGGGGCUGCGGCUGCGGCGAUGGCAGCUGCAGUUGGAAGAGAAGAAGGAGAGGAAGAUGAGCAGGGGAGGAAGAAAAGGCUGUGGCCGUGGCUGAGGCUGCGACUGCAGCAUGCAGCUGGGAAAGAAGAGAAGGAAAGGAAGAAGAAGAGAAAGGAAGAAGGGAAGGAGAGGAAGAAGAGAAGGGGCUGCGGCUGCGGCGAUGGCAGCUGCAGUUGGAAGAGAAGAAGGAGAGGAAGAUGAGCAGGGGAGGAAGAAAAGGCUGUGGCCGUGGCUGAGGCUGCGACUGCAGCAUGCAGCUGGGAAAGAAGAGAAGGAAAGGAAGAAGAAGAGAAAGGAAGAAGGGAAGGAGAGGAAGAAGAGAAGGGGCUACGGCUGCGGCGAUGGCAGCUGCAGUUGGAAGAGAAGAAGGAGAGGAAGAUGAGCAGGGGAGGAAGAAGAGGCUGCGAGUGUGGUGGCUGCAGCCGUGGCUGCGACUCCGGCUGCGGCUGCAACGUUGGCUGCGGUAGCUGCGGCAGCGGUGGUGGCUGCAGUAGCUGCAGUAGCUGCUUUUGGGAAAGAGAAAGAGUAGGAACGAGAGAAGGGAAGAAGGAAAUAGUGCAGUGGAAGGGGGCUGCGGUUGUGACCGCAGUUGCGGUCGUGGCUGCGAUUGUGGCAGCGGCAGCGGCGGCGGCUAUGGCAGCUGCGUUUGGGAAAGAAAAAGAAGGAAUGAGAGUAAGAGAGAGCAGGUGACUGUGCCUCGAUGUUCGACACGUGAUGUAGUUGCGAAGAAAGGAAGAAAACGGGAGCACAAAACGAAACAAAGAGAGGACACGGAGAAAAAGUAGAAGGAUUUGAGCUGGCACCUUCUUUGGAUCUUCGGAUCGAAAUCAUUGAAAGGUCAGCUUGUCACUCUUCGAGAUGUUUGAUUUGGGCUGAGGCAGUGGAUAGCUAUUCAGAAUAAUGGGCAAGUCUGGUUGGUUAUUACGAUAUUGUUGUAUAAGUAUGUCUUGUAUGUAAUGAAAUGUUGUCGAUGAACCGAAAUGGAUAUACUGUGUCAGAGUGUUAGGAGAUCUCUCUUAUUUGGAAUUUCAGAAUGUUAAGUCUAAUUUAUGGUGAUAUGAACUUGUGGUGAAUAGUUGGAGUUCUGAUUGUAUAAUUUAUUUAGCUUGUGGAUUUAUAAAUGUUGUUCUUGUUUGUCAAGUUGGCUUGGGUUGCCAUAAAUGUGAAUUAUCGAGUGAUGUGAUAUAUGAUUAUAAACUGCACAGGUUUUAUGGA